UGCGAUUAGAAAGCAGUGAUGCACACGCCCGAUCUCGUCUGAUCUCGGAAGCUAAGCAGGGUCGGGACUGGUUAGUACUUGGAUGGGAGAAAGCAGUGAUGCUUACAC
This is a non-coding RNA of Erinaceus europaeus (western European hedgehog), 108 nucleotides long. The record is from Rfam. NCBI's taxonomy places the organism in Eukaryota, Metazoa, Chordata, Mammalia, Eulipotyphla, Erinaceidae.